GGUGGGAGGCUUUGAAGUGUGGACGCCAGUCUGCAUGGAGCCGACCUUGAAAUACCACCCUUUAAUGUUUGAUGUUCUAACGUGGACCCGUGAUCCGGGUUGCGGACAGUGUCUGGUGGGUAGUUUGACUGGGGCGGUCUCCUCCUAAAGAGUAACGGAGGAGCACGAAGGUUGGCUAAUCCUGGUCGGACAUCAGGAGGUUAGUGCAAUGGCAUAAGCCAGCUUGACUGCGAGCGUGACGGCGCGAGCAGGUGCGAAAGCAGGUCAUAGUGAUCCGGUGGUUCUGAAUGGAAGGGCCAUCGCUCAACGGAUAAAAGGUACUCCGGGGAUAACAGGCUGAUACCGCCCAAGAGUUCAUAUCGACGGCGGUGUUUGGCACCUCGAUGUCGGCUCAUCACAUCCUGGGGCUGAAGUAGGUCCCAAGGGUAUGGCUGUUCGCCAUUUAAAGUGGUACGCGAGCUGGGUUUAGAACGUCGUGAGACAGUUCGGUCCCUAUCUGCCGUGGGCGCUGGAGAACUGAGGGGGGCUGCUCCUAGUACGAGAGGACCGGAGUGGACGCAUCACUGGUGUUCGGG
Molecule: ribosomal RNA, 575 nt
Filed under: Salmonella enterica
Lineage: Bacteria; Pseudomonadati; Pseudomonadota; Gammaproteobacteria; Enterobacterales; Enterobacteriaceae
Description: partial 23S ribosomal RNA
Rfam family: Bacterial large subunit ribosomal RNA
Source: RNAcentral